UACAGGGGGUGCAAACGUUGCUCGGAAUUAUUGGGCGUAAAGCGCACGUAGGCGGUUCGUUAUGUCGGAUGUGAAAGCCCUUGGCUCAACUGAGGAAGUGCAUCCGAAACUGGCGAGCUAGAGUAUGUAAGAGGGUCGCGGAAUUCCCGGUGUAGAGGUGAAAUUCGUAGAUAUCGGGAGGAACACCGGUGGCGAAGGCGGCGACCUGGGACAAUACUGACGCUGAGGCACGAAAGCGUGGGGAGCAAACAGG
This 253-nucleotide ribosomal RNA is filed under the name uncultured bacterium. RNAcentral's name for it is "partial 16S ribosomal RNA". It matches the Rfam family "Bacterial small subunit ribosomal RNA", at positions 524 to 776 of the family's 1533-position model. The record is from RNAcentral.